RNAcentral lists this ribosomal RNA (226 nucleotides) under uncultured bacterium. Its description in RNAcentral is "partial 16S ribosomal RNA". It matches the Rfam family "Bacterial small subunit ribosomal RNA", at positions 15 to 236 of the family's 1533-position model. The record is from RNAcentral.
GAUCCUGGCUCAGGAUGAACGCUAGCGACAGGCUUAACACAUGCAAGUCGAGGGGCAGCAUGAGGUAGCAAUACCUUGAUGGCGACCGGCGCACGGGUGAGUAACGCGUAUCCAACCUGCCCAUCACUUGGGAAUAACCUUGCGAAAGUAAGACUAAUACCCAAUGAUAUCCCACGAAGGCAUCCGAAUGGGAUUAAAGAUUUAUCGGUGAUGGAUGGGGAUGCGU